CCUCUUACCCCAGACUCCUCACCUAUGGAGUCUCCUGAGGAGCCGUUUUCUCCCUAAUCCCAGUCAACAUGCAGCCACUAGGAGAAUUGAUUUGGAGCAGCUAUUGAAGAGCGUUUCAAAGCAAAAGUAAAUGUCUAAACAACACGUGUAUCUAAGUAAUUAUGCAGCAUGCUAAUUAAACUACAAAACUAUGGGUCUUUAGAUGAACACUGACUUAACUCAAAAGAGCAAGCACUCACUUCAUAACAUUUCAUCUCGGCAGAACCCGAAUUGGAAUUUUAGGACAAGACCUUAUGACCCAAUCCAUUUCCUCAGACUUCUACCCAAUAUAUUGAUUAUGGUGUUUACAUAUAGCAUAACUCUGAGCUGCAAAUGUUUCAACGCUCACACUAUCAUCUCCGUCCCAGAGGCUAGGGAAGAUUAGAAGGUGAAAAAAAUACACUUGCGAUGAAAUGUUCUGAGCUCAUGCAGUCUUCCCACACUGAAAGAUCCCAGCAGAAUGCGUGGAGGCAAGCAAUGUCAGAGUCCAGGGAAGCACAAUAUGAAUGUGAGGACAGGUGGCGGGUUGAAAAUGAUAGGUGGCGUCAGCUUGCUGACAGAAGGCAGGAGGCAAUGCUAAGGCUACUGGAGGAUCAAACAGAUAUACUCCGGCGUAUGGUUCAGCUGCAGGAAAGGCAGGAGCAUAGAUUGCCGCUGCAGCCCCUGUGUAACCAACCGCCCUCCUCCCCAAGUUCCAUAGCCUCCUCACCCAGAUGCCCAAGAACGUGAUUCGGGGACCUCCGGGCAGCCAAGGACUCCACCCUAGAGGACUGCCCAAGCAACAGAAAGCUGGCAUUCAAUAAGUUUUAAAGUGCAGUGUGGUCUUGUCCUUCCUUCCUCCCUGACCCCUCCCAGGCUACCUUGGCAGUUA
Long non-coding RNA from Caretta caretta (loggerhead turtle), 910 nucleotides. RefSeq lists it as uncharacterized. The record is from RefSeq and is a predicted model, not a curated record. NCBI's taxonomy places the organism in Eukaryota, Metazoa, Chordata, Testudines, Cheloniidae.